This 253-nucleotide ribosomal RNA is filed under the name uncultured bacterium. RNAcentral's name for it is "partial 16S ribosomal RNA". It matches the Rfam family "Bacterial small subunit ribosomal RNA", at positions 524 to 776 of the family's 1533-position model. The record is from RNAcentral.
UACGUAGGGUGCAAGCGUUGUCCGGAAUUAUUGGGCGUAAAGAGCUCGUAGGCGGUCUGUCGCGUCUGCUGUGAAAACUCAGGGCUUAACCCUGAGCUUGCAGUGGGUACGGGCAGACUAGAGUGCGGUAGGGGAGACUGGAAUUCCUGGUGUAGCGGUGAAAUGCGCAGAUAUCGGGAGGAACACCGGUGGCGAAGGCGGUUCUCUGGGCCUGACCUGACGCUGAGGAGCGAAAGCGUGGGGAGCGAACAGG